Molecule: ribosomal RNA, 494 nt
Filed under: uncultured bacterium
Lineage: Bacteria
Description: partial 16S ribosomal RNA
Rfam family: Bacterial small subunit ribosomal RNA
Source: RNAcentral
GACGAACGCUGGCGGCGUGCUUAACACAUGCAAGUCGAACGGAAAGGCCUGUCCUGCCUUGGGUUGGACGGGUACUCGAGUGGCGAACGGGUGAGUAACACGUGAGUGAUCUGCCCCCAACUUGGGUAUAAGCCUGGGAAACUGGGUCUAAUUCCCGAGAGGACUGGAGGGUGGUGCCGGUGGUGGAAAACGAUAUGCUAGUGGUUGGGGAUGAGCUCGCGGCCUAUCAGCUUGUUGGUGGGGUAAUGGCCUGCCAAGGCCGCGACGGGUAGCCGGACUGAGAGCGUGGACGGUCGCAUUGGGACUCGGUCCCGGCCCCUACUCCUACGGGAGGCAGCAGUGGUGGGUCUUGGACCGUGGGCGGAAGCCUGAUGUAGCGCCGCCGUGUGGGGGAUCUCCGGAUUCGGGUGGUAAUCUCCUUUCGAGCGCGAGGAGGCCGCUUGGUUGGAAGGGUUGUGACGUUACUGGUAGAAGAAGCACCGGCUAACUACGUG